Molecule: ribosomal RNA, 452 nt
Filed under: uncultured bacterium
Lineage: Bacteria
Description: bacterial SSU rRNA
Rfam family: Bacterial small subunit ribosomal RNA
Source: RNAcentral
UACGGAAGGCAGCAGUGGGGAAUAUUGCACAAUGGGCGCAAGCCUGAUGCAGCCAUGCCGCGUGUAUGAAGAAGGCCUUCGGGUUGUAAAGUACUUUCAGUCGUGAGGAAGGUGUUAAGGUUAAUAACCUUAGCAAUUGACGUUAGCGACAGAAGAAGCACCGGCUAACUCCGUGCCAGCAGCCGCGGUAAUACGGAGGGUGCGAGCGUUAAUCGGAAUUACUGGGCGUAAAGGGCACGCAGGCGGUUAAUUAAGUUGGAUGUGAAAUCCCCGGGCUUAACCUGGGAAUGGCAUUCAAGACUGGUUAGCUAGAGUCUUGUAGAGGGGGUAGAAUUCCAUGUGUAGCGGUGAAAUGCGUAGAGAUGUGGAGGAAUACCGGUGGCGAAGGCGGCCCCUGGACAAAGACUGACGCUCAUGUGCGAAAGCGUGGGGAGCAAACAGGGAUUAGAACC